This 432-nucleotide unclassified non-coding RNA is filed under the name Drymonia foliacea. RNAcentral's name for it is "partial external transcribed spacer". Lineage: Eukaryota; Viridiplantae; Streptophyta; Magnoliopsida; Lamiales; Gesneriaceae. The record is from RNAcentral.
UGAUUGACGUGCAUCGGUAUGUUGAAUCCCUGCUAGGGCAGCGACAACGUAUCUUGCUCGCCACUUCAGUUAUUGCCAUAGGCGCUUUAAGCCUUUGUCGGAUGAUGUUUUCCUGUGUUAUAUUCCAUUAAAAGGCAUUGAAUUUGUUCAAUUGCAUUAGUUCACUUCUCGCUGUUGUCCCCUUGGAUUUUGGCAUGCAGUGAACUUUAAAGCAUUUAUUGUGUUCCACUUUCCUUGCAUGCACAUGCUUGGGUUGUUGGGCCACGGUCCUUGCUCGGUCUCUCGGUUGCGGAAUACCUUGUGGGCACGAGGACACCAGUCCUCUAUUCGGCCCUUAUCUAGCGUUUAACGCUAUGUUCAAACGACAGUUGUGGUUGUCUUGACUAGGUCUUUAUGGCUUGGCUCAUACGGUCGCAACGUCGAUGAGGAAUG